AGCUCCAAUAGCGUAUAUUUAAGUUGUUGCAGUUAAAAAGCUCGUAGUUGGAAUGAUACGUUUGCCAAGAGACUCUUAUCUUAGAGCACGCGGCAGGCGCGAGUUCUUCGAGAACUUCUGUUACUUUGAGAAAAAUUGAGUGUUUCACGCGGGCCAGAGCUGAAAUAGUGUACCAUGGAAUAACGAAGUGGCUGUUCCUCCGUUUCUUCGGUUUUGGACGGAACAGCACGUGGUUGAUAGGAACAGUCGGGGGUAUUCGUAUUGAACAGUCAGAGGUGAAAUUCUUAGAUUUGUUCAAGACGAACUAAUGCGAAAGCAUCUACCAAGGAUGUUUUCA
RNAcentral lists this ribosomal RNA (337 nucleotides) under uncultured eukaryote. RNAcentral's name for it is "SSU rRNA". It matches the Rfam family "Eukaryotic small subunit ribosomal RNA", at positions 587 to 972 of the family's 1831-position model. The record is from RNAcentral.